This 429-nucleotide ribosomal RNA is filed under the name Chloroflexota bacterium. Its description in RNAcentral is "Chloroflexi bacterium partial 16S ribosomal RNA". It matches the Rfam family "Bacterial small subunit ribosomal RNA", at positions 355 to 776 of the family's 1533-position model. The record is from RNAcentral. Lineage: Bacteria; Bacillati; Chloroflexota.
UGGGGAAUAUUGCACAAUGGGCGCAAGCCUGAUGCAGCCAUGCCGCGUGUAUGAAGAAGGCCUUCGGGUUGUAAAGUACUUUCAGCGGGGAGGAAGGGAGUAAAGUUAAUACCUUUACUCAUUGACGUUACCCGCAGAAGAAGCACCGGCUAACUCCGUGCCAGCAGCCGCGGUAAUACGGAGGGUGCAAGCAUUAAUCGGAAUUACUGGGCGUAAAGCGCACGCAGGCGGUUUGUUAAGUCAGAUGUGAAAUCCCCGGGCUCAACCUGGGAACUGCAUCUGAUACUGGCAAGCUUGAGUCUCGUAGAGGGGGGUAGAAUUCCAGGUGUAGCGGUGAAAUGCGUAGAGAUCUGGAGGAAUACCGGUGACGAAGGCGGCCCCCUGGACGAAGACUGACGCUCAGGUGCGAAAGCGUGGGGAGCAAACAGG